Molecule: transfer RNA, 69 nt
Filed under: Criotettix japonicus
Lineage: Eukaryota; Metazoa; Arthropoda; Insecta; Orthoptera; Tetrigidae
Description: tRNA-Asp
Source: RNAcentral
AAGGAUUUAGUUAAAAAAAAAUAAAUAACAUUAAAAUGUCAAUUUAAAAUUACUAUCAAGUAAUCCUUG